UGACUGCAGCACAUGUUUUAAUUCAAGAACAGUUAUAGUUAGGACAUAUAAGGCCAUCCACUUAUCCUUGGAAGACACCCAUAUUUGUCAUUAAAAAAAAAAGACUGGAAAAUGGUGGUUGCUGCACGAUUUACGGGCUAUUAAUGCUCAAAUGCAACUCAUGGGAUCUAUUCAGAGAGGGUUGCCUUUGCUUUCUACUAUCCCUAAAAAUUGGCCAGUGAUAUGUAUAGAUAUUAAGGAUUGUUUCUUUUCCAUCCCAUUGCAUCCUCUAGAUUCAGAACGUUUUGCUUUCAC
This 294-nucleotide non-coding RNA is filed under the name Marmota monax (woodchuck). Lineage: Eukaryota; Metazoa; Chordata; Mammalia; Rodentia; Sciuridae. The record is from RNAcentral.